This is a long non-coding RNA of Limulus polyphemus (Atlantic horseshoe crab), 399 nucleotides long. RefSeq lists it as uncharacterized. Lineage: Eukaryota; Metazoa; Arthropoda; Merostomata; Xiphosura; Limulidae. The record is from RefSeq and is a predicted model, not a curated record. The transcript has 2 exons.
CAGAGAGAGUUGGACACAACAGCAGCAGAACUUGCUAACAGACAAGAUGAAAGCGAAACAUCAAGAAAAAAACUCGUGGAACAGAGCCGAGAGUUUAAGAAGAACACAUCUGAGGAUUACGUUUCGAUGGGAUGCUCUAUUCUCAGUGCAGAAGAAAAGACAGGGGUGAGAGGAUGUGUGGUUUGUAUGCAAAUGAUCAAUGGAAACAUGCCUGGUUUUACCCUUUGAAAAACAGCGACCAGUUCAACUGUUCUGAACCACUGGUUCGGAAGAAACAGACUAAUGGACGACGCAUUGUGAGGAUACCAUCUAGUACCGAACUGUCUUCUGGAAGAAAUGGUGUACAACCCUCAUUUUUAACAUGUACGACAUAAAUAAAGAGCCAAUAUGUUUUGUUAA